Molecule: long non-coding RNA, 561 nt
Filed under: Mus spretus (western wild mouse)
Lineage: Eukaryota; Metazoa; Chordata; Mammalia; Rodentia; Muridae
Description: lncRNA (ENSMSPG00010002945.1)
Source: RNAcentral
GAAUGAAUCUAACAAUGCCAUGGACUCUACACUGAAAUAUCUAACAUGAGUAAAAGAAGCAAAGAAGGUGAAUGGGGAAUCAGCCCAUGAGGAUGAACUGAAAACGCAGCUGUUUUUCAAAAAACUUGGGUUCUGGAACUCAUCAGGGAAGAGGACCUGAGUUUGGUGCCAAGCACCCACAUAGCAGGUCACACACAUUCAUAGCUCCAGGUCCAGGGAAUCUGAGGGCCUCUGCUGGUCUUCUAGGACACCAGACACACAAGUGGCACAGAAUCAAUCGUACAUGAAGAAAGCCACAUGGAAAUCUUUGCCAACUCUUGCUCUCCUGAAAUGCUGCUGGAAGGAAGGCAAAUGAGAGCUCUCCCCAAACAGAAGCACAGCUGCAAGUGAGGUGUCUGGCCAAGCCCUGGUCCUUUCUCUGGCUGCUUCCUGAAUUCAGCUUCCUUCUUCUGAAUAGUGUUGAUGAAUUAGCAUGGGGAGAGCAUGUGCUGGACUCUGGGCUUGUGCCUCCAGGGCUUGGAGCCAUAGCCUUCAGGAGCCAUGCUGUGUGGGCCAUUAAAC